UAUCUUCAUCGCGGAGUCAUUUUUACUAAAGAUAACCUUAUCAAGAGGAAUUGGCAUGGAAGUCUGCAAUGUAUUUUUUGUCAUCAUGAUGAGACAAUAAAACAUUUAUUCUUCCAAUGCAAAGUGUCUCGGUCUAUAUGGUCAGUCAUCCAGAUAGCUUCUGGCUUGUAUCCUCCUUGUAUGUUGCUAAUGUAUUUGGCGGAUGGUUAUAUGGGAUUGAUCACAGGUUUAGAACUCUUCUUGGGGUGGGAGUGCUUGCCAUUAUUUGGUCUCUUUGGCUAUGUAGAAAUGAUAAGGUUUUUAACGAUAAAAGUACUUCUCCCAUGCAGGUUAUCUAUAGAUGUACCAGGACUCUUCAUUUAUUGUUCUCUCUACGGCGCGUGGACAAUCGAGACCUAUUUAUGGAAGUGUGUUCAUGAUUGGAGGAUAUGGCUAGGGAUAUUUUUAUCCAACAUGGGUGGCAGCAUGAUCUUAGGAUUGACCAACCUGCGCUUUAGGCGUUGUACAGACUCUACACGUUUCUUUGUAUUCCACAUUUUUAUUUUUCAUUGUGCGAGAGGACUUUGUUUGGCUGUGUGCGUCUUAGUUAUGCAGAGUCCGCGUUUAAUGCUUAAACCUUUUAAGUAA
Molecule: ribosomal RNA, 627 nt
Filed under: Triticum aestivum (bread wheat)
Lineage: Eukaryota; Viridiplantae; Streptophyta; Magnoliopsida; Poales; Poaceae
Description: partial small subunit ribosomal RNA
Source: RNAcentral